Long non-coding RNA from Ylistrum balloti, 920 nucleotides. RefSeq lists it as uncharacterized. The record is from RefSeq and is a predicted model, not a curated record. The transcript is spliced from 3 exons. NCBI's taxonomy places the organism in Eukaryota, Metazoa, Mollusca, Bivalvia, Pectinida, Pectinidae.
UGACGGGAGAUUUGUUACUGGGAAGAUGAAUAGUUGACCAUACUAUUUCUAUACCCUCUCAAGUGACUUGUCACACACGCUAAUUUAUUUGUGGAACAACACCUGGAUGUCCAGUGGCCGCUAUCUGACGACUAAAGCCAGCAGUAAUCCUAUGAAGGUUCACUACCACUUUCAAGAAUUCAGCGGGAGAAUGAUUCCACGUGAUUGCCAUGGUAAUUCCAGCAACGCUCCAGCAGAGAUCAGUUACAUUGGUUUGAGGGGUCACUUCUGUUUUGGAAGCAGAGAAGUGACAGCACACGGAUGCUAGCUUUUGCCACUACAACAAACCUGGAGAUUCUAUCAACUACCGACACACUCUACUGCUAUGGAACUUUCUACUCAUGCCCAAGAUUCUUCAGCCAGCUGUACACGAUCCAUGCUAUGAUAGAUGAUCAAAUGUACCCGCUCGUAUUCGCCCUUUUACCAGGAAAUUCGCAAGUCAUCUACACCAGAUCCAUGGAGAAGCUAAAAUCUACGAUGGAGGUUCUACAACUUCAACUCAACCCAACUUCAAUUUUCAUGGACGCCCAGAAUGCAGCCAAAGCCGUCUUCCCAGGGAUUACAGUGAAUGGUUGUUUCUUUCAUUCCACGCAGUGUAUUAAGAGAAAGACCAAGCUACUUGGACUCCAGACCUACUACAAGGAAAAAUAAAGACAUCCACAGACUGAUUCGUAGAGCCGCUGUUCUUCCACUAAUACCACCACAUCACAUCGAGGACUACUGGUUCAACGCCUUGGAGGACCUUGAAGACGUCGACCUACCCGUAGAUACAACGCUAUUCACUGACUACGUCAUCACCCAACGGAUAGAAGGAGACCGACAGGUUUGGAACCACUUUGACAACGAUGGACCCAGGACCACAAACAUCUUGGAAUGAUGGC